RNAcentral lists this ribosomal RNA (243 nucleotides) under Saccharomyces cerevisiae (brewer's yeast). Its description in RNAcentral is "partial large subunit ribosomal RNA". It matches the Rfam family "Eukaryotic large subunit ribosomal RNA", at positions 104 to 344 of the family's 3401-position model. Lineage: Eukaryota; Fungi; Ascomycota; Saccharomycetes; Saccharomycetales; Saccharomycetaceae. The record is from RNAcentral.
AAAGCUCAAAUUUGAAAUCUGGUACCUUCGGUGCCCGAGUUGUAAUUUGGAGAGGGCAACUUUGGGGCCGUUCCUUGUCUAUGUUCCUUGGAACAGGACGUCAUAGAGGGUGAGAAUCCCGUGUGGCGAGGAGUGCGGUUCUUUGUAAAGUGCCUUCGAAGAGUCGAGUUGUUUGGGAAUGCAGCUCUAAGUGGGUGGUAAAUUCCAUCUAAAGCUAAAUAUUGGCGAGAGACCGAUAGCGAA